RNAcentral lists this ribosomal RNA (519 nucleotides) under Aspergillus salinarum. Its description in RNAcentral is "LSU rRNA". It matches the Rfam family "Eukaryotic large subunit ribosomal RNA", at positions 87 to 609 of the family's 3401-position model. The record is from RNAcentral. Lineage: Eukaryota; Fungi; Ascomycota; Eurotiomycetes; Eurotiales; Aspergillaceae. RNAcentral also lists the same sequence under 1 other name.
CGGCGAGUGAAGCGGCAAGAGCUCAAAUUUGAAAUCUGGCCCCUUCGGGGUCCGAGUUGUAAUUUGUAGAGGAUGCUUCGGGUGCGGCCCCCGUCUAAGUGCCCUGGAACGGGCCGUCGGAGAGGGUGAGAAUCCCGUCUGGGACGGGGUGUCCGUGCCCGUGUGAAGCUCCCUCGACGAGUCGAGUUGUUUGGGAAUGCAGCUCUAAGUGGGUGGUAAAUUUCAUCUAAAGCUAAAUACCGGCCGGAGACCGAUAGCGCACAAGUAGAGUGAUCGAAAGAUGAAAAGCACCUUGAAAAGGGAGUUAAACAGCACGUGAAAUUGUUGAAAGGGAAGCGCUGACGACCAGACUCGCCCGCGGGGUUCAGCCGGCAUUCGUGCCGGUGUACUUCCCCGCGGGCGGGCCAGCGUCGGUUUGGGCGGCCGGUCAAAGGCCCCCGGAAUGUAGCGCCCCUCGGGGCGCCUUAUAGCCGGGGGUGCAAUGCGGCCUGCCUAGACCGAGGAACGCGCUUCGGCUCG